This 274-nucleotide ribosomal RNA is filed under the name uncultured bacterium. RNAcentral's name for it is "partial 16S ribosomal RNA". It matches the Rfam family "Bacterial small subunit ribosomal RNA", at positions 523 to 796 of the family's 1533-position model. The record is from RNAcentral.
CUACGAAGGUCCCAAGCGUUAUUCGGAAUCACUGGGCGUAAAGAGUACGUAGGCGGUUUGGUAAGUCAGGUGUGAAAUCCCGGAGCUCAACUCCGGAACUGCAUCCGAUACUGCCAGACUUGAGUAAUGGAGAGGCAGGUGUAAUUCUCGGUGUAGCAGUGAAAUGCGUGGAUAUCGAGAGGAAGACCAAUGGCGAAGGCAGCCUGCUGGACAUUUACUGACGCUGAGGUACGAAGGCUAGGGGAGCGAAAGGGAUUAGAAACCCUGGUAGUCC